Molecule: ribosomal RNA, 440 nt
Filed under: uncultured bacterium
Lineage: Bacteria
Description: partial 16S ribosomal RNA
Rfam family: Bacterial small subunit ribosomal RNA
Source: RNAcentral
CCUACGGGAGGCAGCAGUGGGGAAUAUUGCACAAUGGGGGAAACCCUGAUCCAGCAACGCCGCGUGAGUGAAGAAGUACUUCGGUAUGUAAAGCUCUAUCAGACGGGAAGAAGAUGACGGUAGCGGAUUAAGAAGCACCGGCUAACUACGUGCCAGCAGCCGCGGUAAUACGUAGGGGGCAAGCGUUAUCCGGAUUUACUGGGCGUAAAGGGAGCGCAGACGGCAAUGCAAGUCUGGAGUGAAAGCCCGGGGCCCAACCCCGGAACUGCUAUGAAAACUUUGUGGCUAGAGUAAUGGAGAGGAAGGCGGAAUACCUAGUGUAGCGGUGAAAUGCGUAGAUAUUGGGUAGAACACCGGUGGCGAAGGCGGCCUGCUGGACAGUUACUGACGCUGAGGCUCGAAAGCGUGGGGAGCAAACAGGAUUAGAUACCCUUGUAGUC